Molecule: ribosomal RNA, 425 nt
Filed under: uncultured bacterium
Lineage: Bacteria
Description: bacterial SSU rRNA
Rfam family: Bacterial small subunit ribosomal RNA
Source: RNAcentral
GUGGGGAAUAUUGGACAAUGGGCGCAAGCCUGAUCCAGCCAUGCCGCGUGAGUGAUGAAGGCCCUAGGGUUGUAAAGCUCUUUCACCGGUGAAGAUAAUGACGGUAACCGGAGAAGAAGCCCCGGCUAACUUCGUGCCAGCAGCCGCGGUAAUACGAAGGGGGCUAGCGUUGUUCGGAAUUACUGGGCGUAAAGCGCACGUAGGCGGACAUUUAAGUCAGGGGUGAAAUCCCGGGGCUCAACCCCGGAACUGCCUUUGAUACUGGGUGUCUGGAGUAUGGAAGAGGUAAGUGGAAUUCCGGGUGUAGAGGUGAAAUUCGUAGAUAUUCGGAGGAACACCAGUGGCGAAGGCGGCUCACUGGCUCGAUACUGACGCUGAGGUGCGAAAGCGUGGGGAGCAAACAGGAUUAGAAACCCCAGUAGUCC